Molecule: long non-coding RNA, 852 nt
Filed under: Homo sapiens (human)
Lineage: Eukaryota; Metazoa; Chordata; Mammalia; Primates; Hominidae
Description: HSALNT0269321
Source: RNAcentral
AUGCUGCCUGAAAGAAGUACACAGCUUCUCUUUUUCCAUCACUAACUCAUAAAUGGAAGGAGCAGGUAAUAAAUAUCAUGGGGCUGAUGGGUUUCCAGGGAGCCUGAGAAAGAGUGAAGGAGGCUGCCGGAAAGCCAGAGCAGUGUGUGAAUGAACCUUAAAACUGUGACCGCCUCCCCCUUGUGCAGCCACGGGAGUAGGAUGACCCCCAGUUGACUGAGAAAAGACGGAGCACAGAUGGGAGUGGCAUCCUACAAGAUCCCCAGCUCAGCGCUCACUUUUGUAGUGAAGACAUGCUUUAAAAUCAUCGAGUGUGCCUGCCUUUGAGAUUUGCAAGAGGAAGCAAAGAGCACGUUAAUGAAACUUGGGAGGAAACUGAAUUUAGAGCUGCUGCAAACACAGAAGUAAUGAAAGCAAACAUAAAGAUGUUAGAAGUGUGGUCAGGAAAUUAAAAAAAAAAGAGCUACAGCUUGGAAAAUAGGUGAUUAAUGAGGAAUAUUGUUAAGAUGGAAUCAAAGUGUAAGAUGGAUGGGGAGAUGGGGGCAUUGUUAAGUUCGUGUUUUCCUGAGAAGGUGGGUUUUGUCACCUGGCACUGAACACACUUUCACACAUGAUUGAUAAACACUGUUGAGAACAAUUGCAAAUUACAGAUUUUGAACAUUCGCAAAGACUGAUUUGCUCCAGGACUGUCUAGAACCACAUUCCCAGAAGUGUAUUCUGGGAGCAUUAGUCCUACCAGAUGCUCUACCAAAUAAAGGACUCUUGGCCAAGCAAGAUUUAGGAGUGUUGCUUACUCUGCCCUUUCCUAGUGAAAUUGCCUUUGCAAAGAUUAUGACAGUGAGAGAAAUCUCA